RNAcentral lists this ribosomal RNA (470 nucleotides) under uncultured bacterium. RNAcentral's name for it is "partial 16S ribosomal RNA". It matches the Rfam family "Bacterial small subunit ribosomal RNA", at positions 28 to 507 of the family's 1533-position model. The record is from RNAcentral.
GACGAACGCUGGCGGCGUGCUUAACACAUGCAAGUCGAACGGAGAACGAGGGAGCUUGCUCCCUCCGGGUCAGCGGCGAACGGGUGAGUAACACGUGAGCAAUCUGCCCCGAACUCUGGGAUAAGCGCUGGAAACGACGUCUAAUACCGGAUACGACGCUGGAGGGCAUCCUCCCAGCGUGGAAGGCACUUCGGUUCGGGCUGAGCGCGCGGCCUAUCAGCUUGUUGGUGAGGUAACGGCUCACGACGGCGCCGGCGGGUAGCCGGCCUGAGAGGGGGACCGGCCACACUGGGACUGAGACAGGGCGCAGACGCCUACGGUAGGCAGCAGUGGAGAAUAUUGCAGAAUGGGCGCAAGCCUGAUGCAGCAGCGCCGCGUGAGGGACGACGGCCUUCGGGUUGUAAACCUCUUUUAGCAGGGAAGAAGCGAAAGUGACGGUACCUGCAGAAAAAGCACCGGCUAACUACGUG